CCCGAAAUUACAAAAUGACUUGCAAUCAGUCGCCACUGACGAAAAAGGAAUCUAUUUCUGUUGGAAAUAGACAUACAUUUGACCCACCGAUGAAAUGAUAUAGAAUAUGCAGUAAUCACCACAGGCUCUUUAAGGGUGGUUCUCCUCCACAUUUGUUUUACCUUUCUGGGAAUUACAGAAAACGACAGAAAGGACUGAUAAUGAAUGUCAAGCAGCAAGUAUUGCAUGUACAACAUGUAUAUUUAUAACAACAAUAACAUGUAAAUGUAAAAGCUAAGAAGAUAUCCUGCAUUGUACUUCUUAUAUUUUCUAAGAGAUAUUUGUGAUGUUACAAGCAUACAGUCUGUGAGUAGACAAUGUAUCCUAUAUGUACUGGUUUCCUAGGUGACCAGUCACUACUCUUACUCUUUUAUGGCUAAACAGUGAAGCAGUAGAAAACAGAUUUAAAGUCGUGGGUAUGACCUGAUAUCACACAUACAUUCUAUUUUACUUUAGGUAAACUUUAAAUUACUGCCUCCAACAUCCUUUAGACUCUGGAGGAUAAGUUACUACAUCUUUUUCCCCCAUUACAUGACACAGCAUCACAAAAACACAAGUUAACCACAACUACAAUGUAUAUGCACUACCUUGACAGAUACCAAAGCUUUCUUUUCUUUCUGUAUCUAUUUUUCAUAAUAAUAAAUAGCCAUCAACUAAUAUAAACACAAUAGAAGUUACCAAAUUUUACAUUGUAUAUCAUCAAAUUUACUGAUAUCUUAAUGGCUAUGAC
RNAcentral lists this long non-coding RNA (769 nucleotides) under Mytilus galloprovincialis (Mediterranean mussel). The record is from RNAcentral. Lineage: Eukaryota; Metazoa; Mollusca; Bivalvia; Mytilida; Mytilidae.